GCCGAGUGCUCGCAGUAGCGGCAAAGGCGCCGGUCUUGUUGGUUGUCCCCCGCUAUCCUUGAGUGACUAUGGUCUCUUGGCGGCUAGCGUAAUGAAUUUCUCGCGCAGCUGUUGCGUCACGUUCUACUGUCGUGGACCGGUUGGACAUUUUCACUAGACAAGCCACUUGCCGUCCUUUGGGCUGCUUACAUAUCGAUGUGCCACAAAGCUCUGUCUUCAUUGUAGCGUUCGUCGACGCAACUUUGAGGGUAUGUUGUGCGGACAGUUGAGACGGAUGCCCGGGGAAAUAAGGAACACGGUUCGCCUCUACAGACCUUGAGAACGCACAGCAAGGCUUCUAAAUAUCCACGCAGUUCGACAGCAAUUCAGUGGGUAUUUAUGUGGCCAGUGGACGUUUGCAAGUUCUGUACCACUGGACAGCGAUUGUGGCUUUUGUUGAUCGCUGCACCUGUACAGCUGAGCUGCCCAAACGAUUCCAGUUCAGGUGGAGUGCUUGGGCGAGUUGAUCGGCGGUGCGUCCGUUGGCGACGGCCAGCAUCAGGGCCAUCAUGGUCUGCACAGCCAGAGGAGAGAAGAGCACGUUGGAACCAGCUUCGCCGGUCCCGCGUCUCAGCUCCAGGUACACAUCGACCGCGAACUGGAGCAUGGCGUCGUUGAGGGCGCUUUCGUUCUGCAGCGGUCUGCACGGAAGUAAGAAAAAAUAAAGAAUAUGCCGCAUUA
Dermacentor albipictus is the source of this 720-nucleotide non-coding RNA. NCBI's taxonomy places the organism in Eukaryota, Metazoa, Arthropoda, Arachnida, Ixodida, Ixodidae. The record is from RefSeq and is a predicted model, not a curated record.